Molecule: long non-coding RNA, 1071 nt
Filed under: Eutrema salsugineum
Lineage: Eukaryota; Viridiplantae; Streptophyta; Magnoliopsida; Brassicales; Brassicaceae
Description: long non-coding RNA (ESAL_LNC001434)
Source: RNAcentral
UCAAUCUUUUUUUUUGUCGUCCAUUUAUCAUUAGUAAAAGAAGCUCAUAAAAGGUGGAGUGCAAAGAGUUUGACAAAGCCCAUCAACAGCCCAUACAAAUCAAGAUAAACACGAGUUAAAAGACAUACACAUCAUAGACACGCGUUUUAUGAAGAAUAACAAGGGCAAACGUGGCAAUUCGAAAACAAAUCGCUGCAUUGCCGUCAAGACUCCGCCGACGACGGUUUUAUCUCCGGGAAUCAUCAGCAAAUCUCCAGUGCCAUCAGAAAGCUUCGCCUAAACAUCUUCUUUUCUUCACAUCCUUUUUUUCUCCUCCAGGUUAGAUCUCGUGGGUAACACAGGCUAAAAAUUGACUUCUUCAGUAGAAUUGCCGCCGUUCAUCGAAAACUCAAGACAUCAUCCUUUGCCUUGACAAGGCUCAAUAGGAAUUUGGGGAGUUUCAUUCUCCGAGCCAAGAGCAGAUGAAACCAAAAAUCAAAGAAGAAAAGUUCCAACUCUUACCACCAGAUCCACUCAUCCCCGCCUCAAUUGAAAGAGGAAACCAUAGGUAGAGGAGAAAGGGGAAGAACAACCAAACAACCAGAAAUCCAAUGCUCUAACUUGAAAAAUGAUGAUUCCUGUAAACAAAUCUGACACACCACUAAGGAUUAGUGUAAGAUUGAAUUAAGAAAUCAACAACAAAUGAAAGCAAAGGACUCUGAUUGAAGGAAGUGACAAUCCAAAUAAAUCAGAAAUUAUUCUCCGUUAAACGGAAAGAAAGAUCCGACCUAAGCCGGAAAACAUCCGAUAUUAAUCGGAAUUUACACAACAAAAACUGAGAACAAUUCGCCCUCUGUGAAAGAUAGUGAUGAGAGAACAGAGGGAACCGAAUCAAUCUUUUUUUUUUUGUCGACAACCGAAUCAAUCUAAAAAUAUAUUAUAGCCACAACGUGUCUAAUUUGCUAUAUAAAACAAUGACAUUUAAAAUUUAAACGAAAAUAUGAAAUAUUUGAAAAGAUGAAAUAAUUCAAAAGAUGAAAUAAUUCAAAAGAUGAAAUAAUUCAAAAGAAAACAGAACAUGACUAAGUAAAG